RNAcentral lists this ribosomal RNA (305 nucleotides) under uncultured bacterium. RNAcentral describes it as "bacterial SSU rRNA". It matches the Rfam family "Bacterial small subunit ribosomal RNA", at positions 337 to 659 of the family's 1533-position model. The record is from RNAcentral.
GCCUACGGGGCGCAGCAGUCGGGAAUAUUGCGCAAUGGAGGAAACUCUGACGCAGUGACGCCGCGUAUAGGAAGAAGGUUUUCGGAUUGUAAACUAUUGCCGUGAGGGAAGAAAUUGACAGUACCUCAGGAGGAAGCUCCGGCUAACUAUGUGCCAGCAGCCGCGGUAAUACAUAGGGAGCAAGCGUUAUCCGGAUUUACUGGGUGUAAAGGGAGCGUAGACGGCGAUGCAAGUCUGAAGUGAAAGCCCGGGGCUCAACCCCGGGACUGCUUUGGAAACUGUAUGGCUGGAGUGCUGGAGAGGCA